RNAcentral lists this ribosomal RNA (658 nucleotides) under Sinularia sp. 4 CSM-2013. RNAcentral's name for it is "eukaryotic LSU rRNA". It matches the Rfam family "Eukaryotic large subunit ribosomal RNA", at positions 402 to 861 of the family's 3401-position model. Lineage: Eukaryota; Metazoa; Cnidaria; Anthozoa; Malacalcyonacea; Sinulariidae. The record is from RNAcentral.
AAACCGUUGAAAGGGAAGCGAAUGGAGUUAGCAAUUCGCCCUGCCAGAUUCAGUUGUUCGCACUUCGCGACGUGCACGCUCUCGAUCCGCAUGGACGAGACGUGCACGGACGCGACGUGUGGACGGCGCACUUCUGGCGGGCGAGCGUCAGCGUCGGUCGUCGACGGGCGACAAGGUCGCGAGGAAGGUAGACGUGCCUUCGGGCGCGUUGUUAAGACUCGCGUUCGCAUGGCUCGACGACGACCGUGGCUCCUUCAUGCGGAGGCGACGCGUGCCUGGCUGGCGACUCGUGCGAUCGGUCCGGCAUGUCGACCGUGGCGGACGGCACGCCUGUGCGCUCGAACUGCUGCCGGUCGCUCGCACGAUGUUCGCACACUACGCGUCGAAGACGCUGACGACCAUACGGCUCCAUCCGACCCGUCUUGAAACACGGACCAAGGAGUCUAACAUGUGCGCGAGUCUCCGGGUGAUCGAAACCCGUGGGCGCAAUGAAAGUAAAGGCCGUCCAAGACGGCUGAGGUGAGAAGCGCGCGUCUUCUCGACGCGCGCCGCAUCAUCGACCGACCUAUUCUGCUCUCAGAGAGGUUUGAGUAAGAGCGUAUCUGUUGGGACCCGAAAGAUGGUGAACUAUGCCUGAAUAGGGUGAAGCCAGCGGAAA